UGGGGAAUAUUGCACAAUGGGGGAAACCCUGAUGCAGCGACGCCGCGUGAACGAAGAAGGUAUUCGUAUCGUAAAGUUCUGUCCUAUGGGAAGAUAAUGACAGUACCAUAGAAGAAAGCUCCGGCUAAAUACGUGCCAGCAGCCGCGGUAAUACGUAUGGAGCGAGCGUUGUCCGGAAUUAUUGGGCGUAAAGGGUACGCAGGCGGUUUAAUAAGUCGAAUGUUAAAGAUCGGGGCUCAACCCCGCAAAGCAUUGGAAACUGAUAAACUUGAGUAGUGGAGAGGAAAGUGGAAUUCCUAGUGUAGUGGUGAAAUACGUAGAUAUUAGGAGGAAUACCAGUAGCGAAGGCGACUUUCUGGACACAAACUGACGCUGAGGUACUAAAGCGUGGGGAGCAAACAGG
RNAcentral lists this ribosomal RNA (403 nucleotides) under bacterium. RNAcentral describes it as "partial 16S ribosomal RNA". It matches the Rfam family "Bacterial small subunit ribosomal RNA", at positions 355 to 776 of the family's 1533-position model. The record is from RNAcentral.